GAAAGUUUUAAGUAAGGCAUGGUUAUAGGGAGAUGAAGACCAUAAAAGACAUGAAGGAGGGCAUGCAAGAAAUAAAAGUUUUAUUGGUCUUCUCUACUAUCUGAAUUCCAAAGAAUUGCAUAAACACAGAGAAUUGAAAUCUCCAACUGUGAUAUGGAUUCUUUAACCAUGGAUAGGACAAACGAUUUGAGCACACCUAUUUUAUUGAAAUCAGGGGAUUCCAAAACUUAAUUGAAGUGAAAGCAAGAGAGGUGAAAGACAGUGCAGGGACUUCAAUUCCAAAGUAUACCAAAUGUAGUGAGCAUUCAUAUAGAAGAUUUGAUGGUUCUAUCAUGUUUACUUGAGUCACUUGAGUCAAUUGUUUGAACCGAAAGAGUAGAAAUUUUCAUUGUUAACAAAAGAUGUUCACAUUAAUUUCUUAGACACCAUGUACAUAAUAUCAUAAAUGUUUGAAUUUUUCUGUCACUUUCAUAUUGUUUUUCAGCAUUUUUAGCACCUAUAUCCAUACUGAAAAUCUGUUGCUACACAAGAAACCAUGAACUAGCUAGUUAUUUAUAUAUGGUGCUAAUUAUAAUUGACUGUGGAGUUGGUGGAAGGGGA
RNAcentral lists this long non-coding RNA (600 nucleotides) under Olea europaea subsp. europaea. The record is from RNAcentral. Lineage: Eukaryota; Viridiplantae; Streptophyta; Magnoliopsida; Lamiales; Oleaceae.